This 89-nucleotide ribosomal RNA is filed under the name Klebsiella pneumoniae subsp. pneumoniae. RNAcentral describes it as "partial 23S ribosomal RNA". The stretch from base 1 to 77 matches the Rfam family "Bacterial large subunit ribosomal RNA", at positions 2849 to 2925 of the family's 2925-position model. The record is from RNAcentral. Lineage: Bacteria; Pseudomonadati; Pseudomonadota; Gammaproteobacteria; Enterobacterales; Enterobacteriaceae.
GAGGUUGAUAGGCCGGGUGUGUAAGCGCAGCGAUGCGUUGAGCUAACCGGUACUAAUGAACCGUGAGGCUUAACCUUACAACGCCGAAG